This is a long non-coding RNA of Cygnus olor (mute swan), 3771 nucleotides long. RefSeq lists it as uncharacterized. NCBI's taxonomy places the organism in Eukaryota, Metazoa, Chordata, Aves, Anseriformes, Anatidae. The record is from RefSeq and is a predicted model, not a curated record. The transcript has 2 exons.
CUGGCACAGGUGAAUAAUUACAGGCCCGGGCAGUUUCUGUUGGGUGGAAAGAAAUGAGAAUAAAGAAUGGAAAUCGCACGUGAGCACAAAUUCACAGGUCUUGGUGGGGCCGGUCAGGCUUGGUGCUCCUGCAGCGGGGAACGGAGAGCUUUCUCGCUGGGGGAGGGAUGUGAUACGGGACAAAAGCCAGGCUUAGGAUUAGGAUCAGGCUUGUCUGAUUAGGAUGCUCACUGCAGCAGCCCCACCGGGCCCUCCCUGCCUGCUUACUUUAGGCUUAGAAGAGUUUUCUGGCAUUCCCCAGACAAGCCCAGACCGGUAGGUGUAGUUUCACUGGUGCAGUGUCCAUAGGGCCUCUCCGUGCUCCUGCAGUGUCCUCUGGCUACGCGGCACAGGAGGGCUUUGUCCUCUGUCCUGUGGCUGCGUUGCCCUGAAUCGUUUUGGGCUGGAACACCUGUAAAUUCAGGACGAUGCCUGUGUGCUGCUUUUGGCCCCUGGGCCAAGCCAUCCCUUAGAGGCAUCUGAGGAGCCACAGGCGAGAACGUUCUUAACAAUUCCCUUCCCACGGUGAGUCAGGCAGGGACUACGUGUACCAUGAAAGGAGAAAGCUAAAACAACCAAGCAGGAGAGGUCAUUCCCAGUGCCAGCAAACCACUCUCCCCUCUGGGUUUGAACUGCACCUCUCGGCUUUUUGUGAAGCGCUCUCUCACGGACGUGAAACGCUCCGGCUGUGAAGUCCAGGUGACCUUCCUGAGCUGGAGGAUGAGGGCUUGUGUUGAACCUCCCUGCUCUGGUUCUGCUGGGAAACCUUGCAGUGCUUCUGCUGGUAAAGACUCUCAGGUGUUGGAGAACCAGGUGUUGUGAUGAUGGUGUAGUCCUGCUGUAAAUGUGGGAUGAAUUUUGGUACUUGCUAAACAGCUGUAUUUUAUUUAAUAUUCAGUUUUUACCUUUUAAAAGGAGAUAAAUGGUCUGAGAGCUCAGACCUAAGUUAAUUAAAAGGGACUGAGCAAACAAAGCAUUUCCAUGUGAAGCUUUAACUCCCUGCCAGAUGCUGAACGUGCGUUUCCCCUGCAGAGCAUUUCCCUGCUGAGCAAACCAGGCUCUGCGAGCGCUGAAUAGUUCUGGCCUUUGUGCUGCAGAGAGCGGGAAAUCUUGGGGGGAGCUUGCUAAGUGGGAUGGGAACCCCCUUACCGUGUCUGCUCUCAAAGCAGACUCACGUCCGUUGGUCUGUUUCUUCACGUGGUGCAAUGUCCUGCCAGCAGCGUGGCUGUGCUGCCCUAGGUGCCUGCAGGAGACCAGCUGAGAUGUCAUUUACGCCGCUGCAGCGAGCCCUGGGCUCAGGCACAGCUCAGAGCCGAGACGUGCCGCCGUUCGCUGUGCCGCAUGCUUCUGCGAGCGGCCAGCAGCUCCCUGCCCACCUCCUCGUCCUCAGGGGCAAGCUGAAGGGCAGCUGCCUGGCUCUCUGUGCCGGCCGGGAGAGCUGCAGGCCGUCGGGAUGCUCUCCAGGAAAAGGCCACUGGCUGGAAGAAUCCGGCUGCUAACGUUAUGUUAUCCCAUGCACAGGUUAAAUCUCCUCUGCAGAAUCAUUGUGUGCUUGUGAAAGGCUCAGUGGAAAGAGCUUCGUAACUCGGUGGUGCUCCUCUUUCUGCUGGGGACGGGGUGGGGGCUGCAGGGGGCUGGGGAGGGACUCUUGGUCAGGGGGUGUAGGGAUAGGACACGGGGUGACGGUUUUAAGGUGAAGGAGGGUGGGUUUGGGUUAGAUCCAAGGCAGAAAUCCUUCCCUCUGCGGGCGGUGAGGCCUGGCGCAGGCUGCUGAAGCCAGGGGGGUAGGAUACAGACUUUGCAGUGAUAUCUUGUGCUCCCCGUAGCACCUGAUGUUAUUUCCCACUUCCCCACAGUGUUGCCAGGUCUUACCAGCCCAGAACCAGUUCCUUAUAACUUGGCCAAGUGCAGUGACUUAUUUUCACUUGCAGGAAGAAGCUUCCCUGUUUUUUGUGCCUGUCCUGCCUCCACAGUAAUGGCUUCACCUUUUUCUUUUCUUCAAAUCCCGCUCUUCCUGAGGAUCCACGCUUAAUUUUGAGGGACAGAUGAUGUUAAUGGUGUUUGUCGUGGCCUUCCAGGCAGCACGCUCGGCUGUAGGAAGACUAAUGGCACCGGGGCAGCUGGCCAGGUCGGCGUCCCACCCUCGUUUGUACAACGUUUGUUUUCUUUUAAAGGGAAAACGUAUUUAUCCCCGCUUGGCCUCCCUUUUGCCUGCUGCCCCGUCCCGUGCUGUGGCGCUGAGACCCCAGAGCAGAGGACACUGCCUGGUCACCUCUGCUCGCCCCUGCGGGUGCUGCCCCGCAGGAGAGACCUCGCACGAUCGCCUGAUCACGGAGCGUCGCACUUUGCACCGCGGCUGCUGCUUGAGUUAAUGACCGCUGCCUCGCGAGCUCCAUUACCAGCUCUCGCCUGCAAAUAUUUUGCUUUCCGUCAUCACCUGGCCAGCAGCGAGCGGCGCUUUCGGCUUUUAGGGACGUCGCUGCUGGCAGGCCGGUGGGACGUGGUGCUGUGGGUGAGGGCAGUUGUGCUCCUUUGUGGAGCUCGCGGCCCCCGUCACGCCGGGCUGCUAUUUGAGAGGCAUUUCUGGGCUCGAUCGAUAAAGGACAGAUUGCCAGAGAUAACGUCUGUGUGCGAUAAUGGAGCGUGGUGCUGCGAGAUAACGAAAGCUUUCAGGGCCGGCAACGCACGCUGUUAGCCGCCGCGCCGCAGCGCACCCUCUACAGCAAGGACGUUUGUAGUGGCAGAGCUGCUGGCGGUCAAGGAGGUGCCGUUGGCCGUUUUGGGCGCUUUUCUCACCAAUGUUGAGCUGUCCUGGGGCCUUCCCAUGCUGGGAAGGUGCUGCUCAGGCGGGCUGUUAGGCGCCUGCGGUGCGGUGGCGUGAGACCUCGUCCAGCGCUGUGUCUCUGGGACCUGGUUCUCCCGCUGGAAAACGAGCCUGGACGUGCUGGGUUCCCCCAGCAACAUCGUGGCACUCAGGGGCUCAAAUUCCCCUGUUAAAGCCAUCCACAUGCUGCCCCAACCUGCCUUUCCCUCGGGCUGCCUCCCUGCUCUCGAUUCCUGAAUUAUCGACAUCGAGAGUGAGCUCGGACACUGCUCUCGCAGAGCGUUUAAGUGCCUGAGUCCUGCGGGCUCCAGAAAUUCCCUGGGGGAUCAGGGCCGUGAGGCCGCCCUGGAGCUCAGCCCUGCUCCGUGGCACGCCAGGUAUUUGCCGUCUGCUCCGCAUUCCUGCCGCACAAAGGCCCUUCUGUCCUUGGCCAGAAAUGUUCCGUGGUGUGGGCCUGCAGUUGCCUAAGAGGCUUGUGCUAGCUCUGCGCCCCUGCCCUGCUCCUCGCAGGGUUUUAGUGAGGAAUUAUCACCUGCCAAAGCUGGAUUCUGGUGUCUGGAGCCCGCAUCAGCCUCUGCGGGACUCCGGGCUGGCAGGAGGUGUUGUGGGCAGAUGGAAGGGCCCCGCAGCCUGCCCCAGUGCCUUCUGCUUGGGAAUUACUGCUCCCGCCUUGCCCAGGGGAAAGGGAGACGAGGGAAGGCAACGUGGGUGAGGUGGGGGGUGCGUGAUGCCAGCCACAACGCUUAGGGGUCGAUGCUGUUCAUCGAGAGGGUGCCGGAAAACAAAAGGGGUAAGUCCAAAAGUGCUGGCUGGCUCCUCGUGGAUCUGCACCCCCUGUCUGCAUAUCCACGGCCAGGGUCUGCGUGGCCUGCGGGGCUCCUUUCCUCCCACCAGCCUGCGUGGGAGAC